ACAGAGGGUGCGAGCGUUAAUCGGAAUUACUGGGCGUAAAGCGCACGUAGGUGGCGACGUAAGUCGGGUGUGAAAGCCCCGGGCUCAACCUGGGAAUUGCAUUCGAGACUGCAUUGCUGGAGUACGGAAGAGGAGGGCGGAAUUCCCGGUGUAGCGGUGAAAUGCGUAGAUAUCGGGAGGAACAUCAGUGGCGAAGGCGGCCCUCUGGUCCAGUACUGACACUCAAGUGCGAAAGCGUGGGGAGCAAACAGGA
Molecule: ribosomal RNA, 253 nt
Filed under: uncultured prokaryote
Description: partial 16S ribosomal RNA
Rfam family: Bacterial small subunit ribosomal RNA
Source: RNAcentral